Hemibagrus wyckioides is the source of this 1147-nucleotide long non-coding RNA. RefSeq lists it as uncharacterized. Lineage: Eukaryota; Metazoa; Chordata; Actinopteri; Siluriformes; Bagridae. The record is from RefSeq and is a predicted model, not a curated record. The transcript is spliced from 5 exons.
AUAUCCUGACACACAAGAACACGUUACCUCCAUAUCAAUGCAGUACCACAGAUCUCCUAAACUACAGCUAGACCUGGACUUUAUCCAUAAUACUACUCCCGGUGGUUCUGUCUAACAGGGGUUGGACUCGGCCCCUUAGUUCCAGUGAAAGGAACUCUUAAUGCUUCAGCUUCAUACCAAGACACCGGGACAACUCCAGAUUACAUUCAUGUGCAUAAAAAGCUACAGAAAAAAACCCAGGAGAAGUACACAGAGCUCUUGAUGGUCUGACCUGCCCUGACCUUCGGGGUCACUGACCACUCCAGGUCAAGGGGCUUAGACAUCUGACUGGACUCCGGGGUCAGCUACCAGAGUAAAGCUUGACCCUGUAAUCAGUGUGAGCAGAAACAGAGGAGGACUUCUUUGGCAGUUACGGGUCAGAGGUCAUGGGACACACUGCCUCUUGCUGGGAGGAAAAAAGACUGGAGAUAUGAUAAGCUGUAAACAUGCGGAGGGUAUUUCAAACACACACACACACACACAGACACACACACUCUUCUGCCUUAUACAAAUGCACCCUCCUUUCUUCCUCCUCCUCCUCCCCCCAGGUGCCCUGCCAUCGCAGGCGUGCGUCCUUCUGACAACUGCCUUCCCUCAUUAAUCUUGAUGUGUCUGCUCACCGCUGCAUUCUUCCACGGGCUUUCAACCCUCUCGCUAAUUGCAAUUAAUCACCAGGCGAAACAGAUGCUAGGAACAAACGCUCAAAAACAGGGAGGAGGGAACAUGGGGAGGUGGGAAGGGUAGAGGAGGAGGAGGAGGAGUGUUGAUGAAGCUGUCAGCAGGCGCUGAUGGGUGCGAGGGGUAAAAGGGUGCGAGGACGAGCGCGACCCUGUCACUAAAACCCCCCACAGAAUUCAUCAAAUCCUCCUGCAUUAUAGCCACAAUAAGGGCUAACCCAACAGAGACCAGACAGAAACAGAGGGCGGGGUCAGAGAUAGAACAAACAAACAAACAAAUAAAUAAACAAAUAAAUGGACAGUAAUGCUGAUCUGUGUAAUAGGUGUUUGAUUAUUAAACCUGACGCCUGAUCUGCUCCUUAACUCGAAUCCUUUCACGCCAAGAAAAGAAAAGAAAACAAGCUAAUAUAAUUAUCUAAUGUUACUCAUUA